Molecule: ribosomal RNA, 1232 nt
Filed under: Leuconostoc citreum
Lineage: Bacteria; Bacillati; Bacillota; Bacilli; Lactobacillales; Lactobacillaceae
Description: bacterial SSU rRNA
Rfam family: Bacterial small subunit ribosomal RNA
Source: RNAcentral
CAAAAAACCUGGCCAAGUCCGAACCGCGCAGCGAGAGGUGCUUGCACCUUUCAAGCGAGUGGCGAACGGGUGAGUAACACGUGGAUAACCUGCCUCAAGGCUGGGGAUAACAUUUGGAAACAGAUGCUAAUACCGAAUAAAACUUAGUAUCGCAUGAUAUCAAGUUAAAAGGCGCUACGGCGUCACCUAGAGAUGGAUCCGCGGUGCAUUAGUUAGUUGGUGGGGUAAAGGCUUACCAAGACAAUGAUGCAUAGCCGAGUUGAGAGACUGAUCGGCCACAUUGGGACUGAGACACGGCCCAAACUCCUACGGGAGGCUGCAGUAGGGAAUCUUCCACAAUGGGCGCAAGCCUGAUGGAGCAACGCCGCGUGUGUGAUGAAGGCUUUCGGGUCGUAAAGCACUGUUGUAUGGGAAGAAAUGCUAAAAUAGGGAAUGAUUUUAGUUUGACGGUACCAUACCAGAAAGGGACGGCUAAAUACGUGCCAGCAGCCGCGGUAAUACGUAUGUCCCGAGCGUUAUCCGGAUUUAUUGGGCGUAAAGCGAGCGCAGACGGUUGAUUAAGUCUGAUGUGAAAGCCCGGAGCUCAACUCCGGAAUGGCAUUGGAAACUGGUUAACUUGAGUGUUGUAGAGGUAAGUGGAACUCCAUGUGUAGCGGUGGAAUGCGUAGAUAUAUGGAAGAACACCAGUGGCGAAGGCGGCUUACUGGACAACAACUGACGUUGAGGCUCGAAAGUGUGGGUAGCAAACAGGAUUAGAUACCCUGGUAGUCCACACCGUAAACGAUGAAUACUAGGUGUUAGGAGGUUUCCGCCUCUUAGUGCCGAAGCUAACGCAUUAAGUAUUCCGCCUGGGGAGUACGACCGCAAGGUUGAAACUCAAAGGAAUUGACGGGGACCCGCACAAGCGGUGGAGCAUGUGGUUUAAUUCGAAGCAACGCGAAGAACCUUACCAGGUCUUGACAUCCUUUGAAGCUUUUAGAGAUAGAAGUGUUCUCUUCGGAGACAAAGUGACAGGUGGUGCAUGGUCGUCGUCAGCUCGUGUCGUGAGAUGUUGGGUUAAGUCCCGCAACGAGCGCAACCCUUAUUGUUAGUUGCCAGCAUUCAGUUGGGCACUCUAGCGAGACUGCCGGUGACAAACCGGAAGAAAGGCGGGGAACAACUUCAGAUCAUCAGGCCCCUUAUAACCGGGGCUAACACCGUUGCUAAAAUGGGGUAAACAACAAAUUUGCCAC